RNAcentral lists this long non-coding RNA (4336 nucleotides) under Homo sapiens (human). RNAcentral's name for it is "HSALNT0331064". The record is from RNAcentral. Lineage: Eukaryota; Metazoa; Chordata; Mammalia; Primates; Hominidae.
AGGCCCACGUGAGAAGUAGCCACAACUUGUUUGCCCUCUAAGGAGCCAGAGGAAGUCUUGUCCGGGACUGAGGGCUUGGCCAGAGCCAGUCCCUGCGAACUGCCCGGCGCGUCCUGCCUUGCCAGACCCUCUGCCCGGGGUCAUCCGCAGCCCGCGGGCGCCAUCGGCUCCAGGCACACAUCACCCGUGCUGGAACCCCAGCGUGUGGAGACCGGAGGCCAAAGAAACGAAACUCCCCACGCUGCGCCGUGGAGAAUAAUCACUGCCUUUUCAGAGGCCGACUUCGCCCCCUGCCAAGACAGGGAGCUUGGGAGAUGUCUGCGCAAGGAUCACAAGGUCCCCCCGAAUACUCAAAAUAGACUUUGCAGAGAAGAUCCUUCCAACCUACUGUCUAGAGGGCAGAGGCAAGGCUGCAAGCAUUCCGGAAGUCCAACAGGGGAGGGAGAGUGGAGGAAGGAGGCGUCUCAACAUCUGGAACCAUAUUUCCAUCAGAUGUGUUUCUCAAGCACUCUGCCACUCCUUUCUACCUCUCCUGCGUUUGAUCUGAGGACGGCCCGUUCCACAGGAACACAAAGGCACAGAAGAUGAAGUAACUUGCCCACGGCCACACGGUUGACACCAUGAAGGCUGAACAAAGGAUAUCUGGGGGCAAAAUCUGACCCAUGGGCUGCCCAUUGCCACCUCUGGGCAGCCCUCCUUGAUGGUGUGGAGUCCGCGGUCCGCAUUGGUUAACUUAACUGUGCUUCCUCAGAUCCAGUCUGGAAUUAAUUAUUGAAUUGUAUGCAUUUUCAAUGCCAUCCUCAAGCUAACAGCCAACUAUGCGGGGGAAUAAAACGGAGCAGAGAACCGAGUUGGGUUCCAGAGACCCCAGAUUGUCUUCAUUUGCAGUUGCCAGGUUCCCUGCAGCCCGGGUCUGUGGAUUUCCCGCGGCUCAGCGCCCGCAGCUCAGGCUCCGUGGAGCCCGGCGGCAUGGACGAGGCGUCGCGCGCGCCCUCUAGUGGAGAAAAAGGGUCACUGCCGAACGCCAGCUGCGGACCGUCGAGAGUUCCUUGGGCCAUGGCUCCUGCCGGGAGCAGCAGCCCUGGGGCCGGGAUCCAGGAUGCAGAGGCGAGAAAAUGAACUGCCCGGCCACCACGAAGACAACCCACCCCUUGCCAGUCACCCCUCAAACUACUGACAAUGUCAACAACAAUAAUUAUAACAAUCAUAUUAAUAAGUAGAAUGACAAAUAUAAUAAUAUUUAACAGUUUGUGAUUUUCAGCCCACAAGGUUUCGCCUACUGUGUAGAUUACUCGGGACUCUGCAGGCCAGUAGGCCAUGUAUAGAUGGACAGAAAGAGGUUUGUUAUCAGAAAUGGGCUCACAUGACUGAGGAUACUGUGAAGUCCCACGACCUGCUGUUUGCAAGUAGGGGAUCAGGGAAGCCAGUGGAGUAGGUCAGUCCAAGCCCAAAGGCCGAGAACCAGAGGAGCCGACGGCCCAGCUCAAGCAGAAAGAGUGGCACUCACCCUUCCUCUGCCUUUUGUUCUCUUCAGGCCCUCAGCAGAUUGCAGGACGCCCCGACACAAGGAAGGGCGAUCUUGACUCAGUCAGUCCACGGAUGCACGCUAACCCCUUCCAGAAACACCCUCACAGACACACCUAGAAAUAAUGUGGGGUUUUUGGUGUUUUACUUUUAAUUGCAUUUAUUUUAAUGCCGGAUGUAUUUCCGCGUUGCCAGCUCCUGAGCAUCUCUGAGCCCAAUCAAGUUGACACAUACAAUUAACCAUCACGCUGUGUCAGUUCAAUCAUUAAAAAUACGCAACACUCAGCCGGGCGCGGUGACUCACGACUGUAAUCCCAGCACUUUGGGAGGCUGAGGUGGGUGGAUCACAAGGUCAGGAGUUCGAGACCAGCCUGGCCAACUGGUGAAACGCCGUCUCUAAUAAAAAUACAAAAAAUUAGCUGGUCGUGGUGGCAGGCACCUGUAAUCCCAGCUGCUCAGGAGGCUGAGGCAGGAGAAUCGCUUGAACCCGAGAGGCAGAGGUUGCAGUGAGCCGAGAUCACGCCAUUUCAGUCCAGCUGGGAGACAGAGCAAGACUCCGUCUUGAGAACAAACAAACAAACAGACAGACAGACAAAAAAACACGCAACACUCUAUUAACGCAUGAAUGUAUUCUCACCGAACAAGAUUCAAACAGUAUGAAUGAACAUAUUGCAAAUGUUUUUAAGUGUUUUUGAAAACUUUCAUUUUGAAACAAUUUCAAACUUAGUUGAAAAGUUGCAAGGAUGGCACAAAAACCUUCUAUUAAUACAUAGCUUUUAGCAGGAUUCCUCAGUUGUUAACAAUUUGCCACAUUUGCUUUAUAAUUUUUGCUCUGUCUCUACAUACUUUUAAGAUCUGAGCCAUUUGAAAUAUAAUGCCCCCUUAUAAUAGUUCCGUGGGUCUUUCCUAAAAACAAGUCAUUAUCUUCCAUAAUCCAGUACAGUUGUUCAAAUCAAGAAAAUUAACAUGGAUGCAAUAGUAUUAUCUCAUCUGCAGACCUUCUUCAAAUUUCACCAAUUGUCUCAAUAAUACCAUCCUUUUUAGCAUUUUUUUGGCUGAUUCCCACUACAAACUAUGAAAGCACAAAUGUCUCUCCUCUGCCUUGCCCAGAGGUUCCUCUUUCAAUCAUAGGGGAGGUGCCGAUAGGGUCUGUCUUUCAUUUUUCUCAAUGGAAGCACAUUCCCCACUUCUCAAUUUGCCUUGGGAGCUCUUAUUUCAAUCUCUUCUCAAUCCUUCGAAGCAGGACUCCUCCCUAGCCAUAUUCUACACAGAAGGAAACAGAAACUCAGCGUGAGGACGGCUCCUGCCCUGCGACCUCAGGUCCCCCAGCUGCCUUGCUAAGAGUUGAACCGUGCCCCCAGCCCCUACCCUGAUACAUUUCAGCAAAUUGAUAUGCAAGGCCCCUUUCCAGGCCCUGGGAACAUGAAGAGGAAGUUGCUGAUGGCUGUGCUCAAAGACUUCCCAGGCUAGUGCAAGGGACAGGAGAGGGCGGCCCUGCUGGAAGCUCAGUGAGGAGCCCUGCGGUGGGGAGUGGUUGAAGCCGUUAAGUCCUCUGGUGACCUAUGGGUGUGGAGGCUGGACCAGAGGGCCUUAAGGGGUAGCCCUGCAGGUCCCAACCCCAUUCUUGGUGGAAGUGUUGGCUGAGGUCUCUGGAGUUGAGUGGGGUGGCAGAACUGGGCACUCUCAUGACAGGAGAGGGGGGAUGGGCAGGAGAGGUGUUCAGAAAAGGAGUGCAGGGAGGGCGGAAGAGCCGCUGUGUGAGUUUCCCCCAGCCCCUUGAGCAGCUGUGGGCCUCCUGCCCAGUCCCCAUGCUGGGACCGAGAGGGCAAAGCGUGCAGAGAAGGCUGCACACCCUGCAGCCUCAGCCAGCGCGUGAUAGGGGAGCUCUGGGCAGGGACAAAGCUGCAGUCCCUGUCCCUGAAUGUCGGGGCGGGGGGGGGCGGGGAUAGAAAGGAGAAAAUGGGGCAGAGAGAAAAGAAAGCGGUGGCGUGCACAUGCCCAGGCCCUUUGCUCCACUUUCCAUGCUAUAUGAGACACUUCCCAAAAUUCACACUCCCUGGGACCCUGAGGAUGGGGGCUGUAUCAGAGGAAUUAAUUCAGUCACAGGAGGACAGGAGUCCAGCUCUGACUCAGUCCCAGUGGAGCAUCGUAGAAAACCGACAACCAGUGUCCAAGGAGCCCACUUUGGUGUCUGAUGGGUCACCAGGAAGAGUUUAUUAGAUUCCUGAAAAUCAUAAGUAAGCAUCCCUGCUUUGUGGAAUUUCAGUUGGUGAGUGACAAUGCCAAGUAUGCAAUUUGUCCUUCAACUUUUCAUUUAUGCCACACCGCGUGCUGGGCUCUCUGCAGGUGCUGGUGAAACAGACAUGAAAAGGCACAACCCCUGCCUCGGGAUCUGGUGGCAAGAUCAACAGGUAAACUGCAGGUCUGAUACGGAUUGACAGGUGCCACUCAGAGUGAGUACGGGUGGCAGAAACUCAGAGGGGUCCGCCUGCCCAGUCUGGGAUUGGGAAAGGCAUCUGAUUAGUUUCUCAUGGCUGUUGUAACAGAUUACCACUACCUUAGUGGCUUAAAACAACAUAAAUGUAUUCUCUUAUGACACUGAAGGUCGUUAAGUGUGAAAUCAGUUUCCCUGGCUAUAGGUGUCAUCUGAGCUGGUCUUUUCCGGAGGCUCCAGGGGAGAAUCGCUUCCUGGCCCUGUUCAGCUUUGGGAGGCUGCCUGCAUCCUUGCCUGCAGCCCCCUUCUCCUUCUUCAAAAUGCACCCCUGCAACCUCUGCACCCAACAUCACACGGCCUUCCCUGCUGCACUCAAAU